ACUGCUCAGUAACACGUGGCUAACCUGCCCUUGGGACAGAGACACCCCCGGGAAACUGGGGCUAAUCCCUGAUAGGUGAAGAACUCUGGAAUGAGUCUUCACCCAAAAGACGCCUAGGCCACGCUUCUAGGCGCCGCCCAAGGAUGGGGCCGCGACCGAUCAGGUUGUUGGUGAGGUAACGGCCUACCAAGCCUUUUACCGGUACGGGCCGUGGGAGCGGGAGCCCGGAGAUGGGCACUGAGACAAGGGCCCAGGUCCUACGGGGCGCAGCAGUCGCGCAAACUUUGCAAUACACGAAAGUGUGACAGGGCUAUCCCGAGUGCCGUCCGCUGAGGGUGGCUUUUACCCAGUCUAGAAAGCUGGGAGAAUAAGGAGAGGGCAAGUCUGGUGUCAGCCGCCGCGGUAAUACCAGCUCUCCGAGUGGUGUGGAUGUUUAUUGGGCCUAAAGCAUCCGUAGCUGGCUGAUCAAGUCCCCUGUUAAACCCAACGAAUCAAUCGUUGGAUUGCGGGGGAUACUGCUCGGCUAGGGGACGAGAGAGGCCGACGGUAUUUUCGGGGUAGGGGUGAAAUCCUAUAAUCCCGAGAAGACCACCAGUGGCGAAGGCUGUCGGCUAGAACGCGCCCAACGGUGAGGGAUGAAAGCUGGGGGAGCGAACCGGAUUAGAUACCCGGGUAGUCCCAGCUGUAAACGAUGCAGGCUAGGUGUUUGGGCGGCCACGCGCCGCUCUAGUGCCGCAGGGAAACUGUUAAGCCUGCCGCCUGGGGAGUACGGCCGCAAGGCUGAAACUUAAAGGAAUUGGCGUGGGAGCAC
Molecule: ribosomal RNA, 811 nt
Filed under: uncultured crenarchaeote
Lineage: Archaea; Thermoproteati; Thermoproteota
Description: bacterial SSU rRNA
Rfam family: Archaeal small subunit ribosomal RNA
Source: RNAcentral